AUAAAAAAUCCAAAAAAAUUUAUUUAAGAAA
RNAcentral lists this small RNA (31 nucleotides) under Arabidopsis thaliana (thale cress). Its description in RNAcentral is "ATSL083820". The record is from RNAcentral. Lineage: Eukaryota; Viridiplantae; Streptophyta; Magnoliopsida; Brassicales; Brassicaceae.